Molecule: ribosomal RNA, 474 nt
Filed under: uncultured bacterium
Lineage: Bacteria
Description: bacterial SSU rRNA
Rfam family: Bacterial small subunit ribosomal RNA
Source: RNAcentral
CGGCAGGCUUAACACAUGCAAGUCGAGGGGCAGCAUAGAGGUUAGCAAUAACUUCUGAUGGCGACCGGCGCAAGGGUGCGUAACGCGUGAGCAACUUGCCCUUAUCAGGGGGAUAACCAAUGGAAACGUUGACUAAUACCCAUGCAUAACCUUGAGGCAUCUCUUGGUUAUUAAAGAAUUUCGGAUAAGGAUAGGCUCGCGUGACAUUAGCUAGAUGGCGGGGUAACGGCCCACCAUGGCGACGAUGUCUAGGGGUUCUGAGAGGAAGGUCCCCCACACUGGAACUGAGACACGGUCCAGACUCCUACGGGAGGCAGCAGUGAGGAAUAUUGGUCAAUGGUCUGACGACUGAACCAGCCAUGCCGCGUGAAGGUCACGGCCCUAUGGGUCUUAAACUUCUUUUGUAAGGGAGCAAUAAGGCGCACGUGUGCGUCGAUGAGAGUACCUUACGAAUAAGCAUCGGCUAACUCCGUG